RNAcentral lists this ribosomal RNA (254 nucleotides) under uncultured bacterium. RNAcentral's name for it is "partial 16S ribosomal RNA". It matches the Rfam family "Bacterial small subunit ribosomal RNA", at positions 524 to 776 of the family's 1533-position model. The record is from RNAcentral.
UACAGAGGUCCCAAGCGUUGUUCGGAUUCACUGGGCGUAAAGGGUGCGUAGGUGGUCAGGUAAGUCGGAUGUGAAAUCUCCGAGCUCAACUCGGAAACUGCAUUGGAAACUACCUGGCUCGAGGGUUGGGAGGGGGGACUGGAAUGCUUGGUGUAGCAGUGAAAUGCGUAGAUAUCAAGCGGAACACCAGUGGCGAAGGCGAGUCCCUGGACAACUCCUGACACUGAUGCACGAAAGCUAGGGGAGCAAACAGG